GACGAACGCUGGCGGCGUGCUUAACACAUGCAAGUCGAACGGAAAGGCCCUGCAUUUGUGGGGUGCUCGAGUGGCGAAAGGGUGAGUAACACGUGAGUAACCUGUCCUUGAGUUUGGGAUAACUUCAGGAAACUGGGGCUAAUACAGGAGAGGAGCUCCUGCAGCAUGGGGGGGGUUGGAAAGAUUGGGCGGUGGGGGAUGGACUUGCGGCUUAUCAGCUUGUUGGGUGGGUAGGGGCUUACAAAGGCAUUGGUGGGUAGCCGACCUGGGAGGGUGACCGGGCACAGUGCGCUUGCGGUACGGCCCAGACGCCUACUGUGGGCAGAAGUGGGAGUCAUUGCACACUGGGCGGAAGCCUGAUGCAGCAACGCCGCGUGCGGAAUGACGGUCUUUUGGUUGUAAACCGCUUUAGCUUGUGACGAGGCGUGAGUGACGGUAAUGUGUAAAGAAGCACCGGCUAACUACGUG
RNAcentral lists this ribosomal RNA (468 nucleotides) under uncultured bacterium. RNAcentral's name for it is "partial 16S ribosomal RNA". It matches the Rfam family "Bacterial small subunit ribosomal RNA", at positions 28 to 507 of the family's 1533-position model. The record is from RNAcentral.